CCUACGGGAGGCAGCAGUGAGGAAUAUUGGACAAUGGGCGCGAGCCUGAACCAGCCAAGUCGCGUGAGGGAGGGCGGCCCUACGGGUUGUAAACGUCUUUGGCCGGGGAGCAAGGGGCGUCACGGGUGGCGCCACUGAGAGUACCCGGAGAAAAAGCGUCGGCAAACUCCGUGCCAGCAGCCGCGGUAAUACGGGGGAUGCGAGCUUUAGCCGGAUUUGUUGGGUUAAAGGGGUGCGUAGGCGGAUCGUGAAGGCGGUGGUAAAAUUGAGGGGCUCAACCCCUUCCCGCCAGUGAUACUGGCGUUCUUGAGUGGAAGAGAAGUAUGCGGAAUGCGUGGUGUAGCGGUGAAAUGCAUAGAUAUCACGCAGAACCCCGAUUGCGAAGGCAGCACGCCGGCUUCCGACUGACGCUGAAGCACGAAAGCGUGGGGAUCGAACAGGAUUAGAUACCCCAGUAGUC
This 460-nucleotide ribosomal RNA is filed under the name uncultured bacterium. RNAcentral's name for it is "partial 16S ribosomal RNA". It matches the Rfam family "Bacterial small subunit ribosomal RNA", at positions 338 to 795 of the family's 1533-position model. The record is from RNAcentral.